UGGUAGGGUAACGGCCUACCAAGCCCAUCAUCGGUACGGGUUGUGAGAGCAAGAGCCCGGAGAUGGAACCUGAGACAAGGUUCCAGGCCCCACGGGGCGCAGCAGGCGCGAAACCUCCGCAAUGCACGCAAGUGCGACGGGGGAACCCCAAGUGCCACUCUUAACGGGGUGGCUUUUCAGAAGUGUAAAAAGCUUCUGGAAUAAGGGCUGGGCAAGACCGGUGCCAGCCGCCGCGGUAACACCGGCAGCUCAAGUGGUAGCCGCUUUUAUUGGGCCUAAAGCGUCCGUAGCCGGUCUGAUACGUCUCUGGUGGAAUCCCACAGCUUAACUGUGGGAAUUGCUGGAGAUACUAUCCUGACUCGAGGUCGGGAGAGGCUGGAGGUACUCCCAGGGUAGGGGUGAAAUCCUGUAAUCCUGGGAGGACCACCUGUGGCGAAGGCGUCCAGCUGGAACGAACCUGACGGUGAGGGACGAAAGCCAGGGGCGCGAACCGGAUUAGAU
RNAcentral lists this ribosomal RNA (501 nucleotides) under uncultured microorganism. Its description in RNAcentral is "bacterial SSU rRNA". It matches the Rfam family "Archaeal small subunit ribosomal RNA", at positions 234 to 734 of the family's 1478-position model. The record is from RNAcentral.